Molecule: long non-coding RNA, 1077 nt
Filed under: Vulpes vulpes (red fox)
Lineage: Eukaryota; Metazoa; Chordata; Mammalia; Carnivora; Canidae
Description: lncRNA (ENSVVUG00000018565.1)
Source: RNAcentral
AUGCGGGUGCCAGCUUCGUGGGCAGGCUUCUUGGCGACGGGGUGGGGCGGGCACAGACGGGCCCUGGCCCGGAGCACCGGGCUUCCCCUUGCUUGUCGUCGGGGCUUGUUUCCCCGGGGCCCAGCGGGAGGGGCCGGCACGGCCGGGCUGUGGGCAGCCAGUGAGGGCACCUGCACGCCGUGGCCGGAGGCCUGGUCUGCAAAGCCUGGUGCGGCCUCUACGCAGCCACGACAGGGCGCAGCCGCCGCCGUAUCCACCUGCCUCGGCGGGCCUGAGGCACCCGGGUGGGCUCGAGCCUCGGGGCCGUCCCCGAGACCCACCCUGGUGUCCCCAGCCCCCGAGGGGCCGCAGUACUCACCAGCCAGGGAGCCGGCCAGGCCGGGCGCGGGCCCGAGCCCACAGGGGCCGGUCCGAGUGGACACCGAGCCAGGGGAGCCCAAAGCUGGCCUCACAGCCCAUCACCAGGCCUCGCCCCGACUGCGGCCGAAGCACCCCGCAGAGACAGGAGAGGAACCCGGGCAGAGGGCCGGGGCCGGAGCACGCGCGGGGGUGCGGGAGGUGCCGGGGCGCAGGGGGAGCAGCCAGUCAGGCCCGCAAGCUUCCAGACGGAGGGCGGAAAUCCCAGAGCCCGAGGAGCAAUCCAAGGAGAAGCGAAAGCCCAGGCCGGAGCGGGGCAGCCCGGCAGCCCGAGCAGCGCGGAGCCCGGGGCGACUUACUAAGUCUAGUGAGGGGCGGCUCAGAAUCUGGCCACUUCCACUUCGGCGCUGCAAGGAAACACAGGGCUCCGUUGGUGGCGGGCGCGGGGGCACGGCCGGGCAGCCCAGCCCCCAGGCACAGGACGCAGGCCGGUCCGCUGAGGCGCCCGGGCCCCGCGGUGGGCCUGGAAGGACGCGCCACACUCAGCUCAGUGCAAGAAAUAAAACUUUUAUUCAAACGACUGCAGUACAGGGCACAAUUAAGAUUAAAAAAAAAAAAAAGAAAGGAAACGAAAGUAUUUUGAGCACUUUACAUCUUCAUACAAGUGUCGCAGUUUUGUGUCUACAUUCAUCCACUGAGCAUGGAAUCCCCUGGAUUUGA